This is a long non-coding RNA of Neoarius graeffei (lesser salmon catfish), 492 nucleotides long. RefSeq lists it as uncharacterized. The record is from RefSeq and is a predicted model, not a curated record. NCBI's taxonomy places the organism in Eukaryota, Metazoa, Chordata, Actinopteri, Siluriformes, Ariidae. The transcript is spliced from 2 exons.
UUUUUUAAAUGUACACACGUGUGGAAAAGAUGGCAAGGUGCAGGAUACAAGAUGAGGUGUCGACGCUUAUCCAGCACAACCAUCAAAGAAUCUGUUAAAUCUACACAGACAAAGGGUGUCAAGGAAUCGGCUGCAUCAUCUUGUGUUGUCACGCUAAGUAGUGGAAGAGGGUGUCGGGAAUGCAGUGUCAAGAUAUUGGUGACCCUGGCCUAAUUCAUUGUUGGACUUGGAUGUUGAAGUUUGUGCCUGUUAAAAGAUUGUGCUUUCACAGUGUGAGGUAGUAGAUUGUAUAGUUGUGGGAUAGUGAUGUUAUCCUGUCUGGAAGAUAACUAUACAAUCUAUUGCCUUCCCUGAGGGGCAGAGAUUCAGUCAGGUUACCUCUCAAAAUUGUUUAAUGUGAAGUCCAUAACAAUGACUUGUUAAUGAAUAAUACUAUUGUCUUAUGUAAAUAAGUCCUUGUUUUUGAAUUAAUAAAUAAAAUGUCAUUCAUAA